UACGUAGGGUGCAAGCGUUGUCCGGAUUUACUGGGCGUAAGGAGCGCGCAGGCGGUCGUUCAAGUCGCGUGUGAAAGCCCCCGGCUCAACUGGGGAGGGUCACGCGAUACUGAUCGACUGGAAGGCAGGAGAGGGUAGUGGAAUUCCCGGUGUAGUGGUGAAAUGCGUAGAUAUCGGGAGGAACACCAGUGGCGAAGGCGACUACCUGGCCUGUUCUUGACGCUGAGGCGCGAAAGCUAGGGGAGCAAACGGG
This 253-nucleotide ribosomal RNA is filed under the name uncultured bacterium. Its description in RNAcentral is "partial 16S ribosomal RNA". It matches the Rfam family "Bacterial small subunit ribosomal RNA", at positions 524 to 776 of the family's 1533-position model. The record is from RNAcentral.